Molecule: ribosomal RNA, 242 nt
Filed under: uncultured Cupriavidus sp.
Lineage: Bacteria; Pseudomonadati; Pseudomonadota; Betaproteobacteria; Burkholderiales; Burkholderiaceae
Description: partial 16S ribosomal RNA
Rfam family: Bacterial small subunit ribosomal RNA
Source: RNAcentral
GGGUGCGAGCGUUAAUCGGAAUUACUGGGCGUAAAGCGUGCGCAGGCGGUUUUGUAAGACAGGCGUGAAAUCCCCGAGCUCAACUUGGGAAUGGCGCUUGUGACUGCAAGGCUAGAGUAUGUCAGAGGGGGGUAGAAUUCCACGUGUAGCAGUGAAAUGCGUAGAGAUGUGGAGGAAUACCGAUGGCGAAGGCAGCCCCCUGGGACGUCACUGACGCUCAUGCACGAAAGCGUGGGGAGCAA